CUACGGGUGGCUGCAGUGGGGAAUAUUGGACAAUGGACCAAAAGUCUGAUCCAGCAAUUCUGUGUGUUUGAUGAAGGCCUUCGGGUUGUAAAGAACUUUAAGUAGGGAAGAACAAAGUGACGGUACCUACAGAAUAAGCGACGGCUAAAUACGUGCCAGCAGCCGCGGUAAUACGUAUGUCGCAAGCGUUAUCCGGAAUUAUUGGGCAUAAAGCGCGUCUAGGCGGUUUACUAAGUCUGAUGUGAAAAUGCGGGGCUCAACUCCGUAUUGCGUUGGAAACUGGUAGACUAGAGUAUUGGAGAGGUAGGCGGAACUACAAGUGUAGAGGUGAAAUUCGUAGAUAUUUGUAGGAAUGCCAAUGACGAAGGUAGCUUACUGGACAAAUACUGACGCUGAAGCGCGAAAGCUAGGGGAGCAAACAGGAUUAGAUACCCGCGUAGUC
Molecule: ribosomal RNA, 442 nt
Filed under: uncultured bacterium
Lineage: Bacteria
Description: partial 16S ribosomal RNA
Rfam family: Bacterial small subunit ribosomal RNA
Source: RNAcentral